UGGGGAAUAUUGGGCAAUGGGGGAAACCCUGACCCAGCAACGCCGCGUGAAGGAAGAAGGCUUUCGGGUUGUAAACUUCUUUGACCAGGGACGAAACAAAUGACGGUACCUGGAAAACAAGCCACGGCUAACUACGUGCCAGCAGCCGCGGUAAUACGUAGGUGGCAAGCGUUGUCCGGAUUUACUGGGUGUAAAGGGCGCGUAGGCGGGAGUGCAAGUCAGAUGUGAAAUGCUGGGGCUUAACCCUGGAACUGCAUUUGAAACUGUACUUCUUGAGUAUCGGAGAGGCAGGCGGAAUUCCUAGUGUAGCGGUGAAAUGCGUAGAUAUUAGGAGGAACACCAGUGGCGAAGGCGGCCUGCUGGACGACAACUGACGCUGAGGCGCGAAAGCGUGGGGAGCAAACA
Molecule: ribosomal RNA, 405 nt
Filed under: uncultured prokaryote
Description: bacterial SSU rRNA
Rfam family: Bacterial small subunit ribosomal RNA
Source: RNAcentral